Molecule: long non-coding RNA, 396 nt
Filed under: Mytilus galloprovincialis (Mediterranean mussel)
Lineage: Eukaryota; Metazoa; Mollusca; Bivalvia; Mytilida; Mytilidae
Source: RNAcentral
ACAGAUGCCUCUCAUUUUGGUAGAACUCGUGUCAAUCUUUCUGUUGAAGUAUCAUCAUUUUUGUCAUCUAAAUUGUUAAUGUUUGUUCGGAUUUCGAGCGGGUACAGUAUAGGGCGAUCCGGCUGAUCCAGUUUCCAUGGCAACUUGGCAGAAUAACGUUCGUUUUCAAAUUUGAUACAGUCUUGUUGAUAAGUCUUUACAAAACUCUCCUCAUCGUCCUGUUGUGGUAAACGUAUUCCUAACGAUUCUAGAUUCCAGAAUUUCUCGAUCUCGCUUUCCUCUGCAUGAUGUGAAGUAACAGUCAAAAGAACUGAUGAGGUUAAGGAUUUCUCUCCAUUUCUUAUUACCGGUCCAGAUAACAAGUAACCAAUUUUUGAUGCUACGGCUGUAGGUCCA